CGAAAGACUAAUCGAACCAUCUAGUAGCUGGUUCCCUCCGAAGUUUCCCUCAGGAUAGCUGGAACUUAAAAAUAGUUUUAUCAGGUAAAGCGAAUGAUUAGAAGCUCUGGGGAUGAAACAUCCUCGACUUAUUCUCAAACUUUAAAUAGGUAAGAUAGGAUAAUUGCUUAAUAUGAAUUAUCUUAUUGAAUAACAAGUUCUUAGUGGGCCAUUUUUGGUAAGCAGAACUGGCGAUGUGGGAUGAACCAAACGUGAAGUUAAAGUGCCUAAAAGUACGUUCAUCAGAUACCACAAAAGGUGUUGAUUCAUCUAGACAGUUGGACGGUGGCCAUGGAAGUCGGAAUCCGCUAAGGAGUGUGUAACAACUCACCAACCGAAUGAAUUAGCCCUGAAAAUGGAUGGCGCUUAAACGUACUACUUAUACUUCACCGUUAAGAUAAAUGCAAAAUCUUAACGAGUAGGAGGGCGUAUUGAUAGUUAUGAAGAUCUACAGUGAUGUAGAUUGAAACUAUCUUUAGUGCAGAUCUUGGUGGUAGUAGCAAAUAUUCAAUAGAGAACAUUGAAGACUGAAGUGGAGAAAGGUUUCACAUGAACAUCAAUUGUAUGUGAGUUAGUCGGUCCUAAACGGAGGGUUAAUUCCUAAGAAAGUUAAAUUUAAUUUAGCUGAACCGUGAAAGGGAAAUAGGUUAAUAUUCCUAUACUAUAUCAAGGAGCGUUAGAAAUGGUAACAUAAAUGAUCUCAGAAACAUCGGUAGAAUAACCAGGAAGAGUUCUCUUUUCUUUUUAACAACCUAUCUUUUAAAUUACCAAAGAAAACCAUGGAAUCAAUUUAUUUGGAGAAAUGGUUUAAAGGUUGGUAGAGCAAUCUAUUUCUUUUGGAUUGUCUGGUUAUAUUCUAACGGUACAUAAAAAUCUGAGGGAAAAAUUUACUUUCUUGAAUAGCCGUACUCAUAACCGCAUCAGGUCUCCAAGGUUAGAAGCCUCUAGUUGACAGAAUAAUGUGAGUAAGGGAAGUCGGCAAAAUAGAUCUGUAACUUCGGGAUAAAGAUUGGCUCUAAAGGCUGGGUAUAUGGGUCUAAUGGAAUAAGCAAUUGGAUAAGGUAAAGUACGAUGGACUGUCGAUUAGGUUUCGAAAGAUGGACUAUUGUGCUUGCUUUAAAAGGCUGUGGAAGCUGUUAGAUGAAAGCAAUUUCAUACUGUAUACAAUGAACAGCUAAUUUAGAACUGUUACUGACCAGGGGAAUCCGACUGUUUAAUUAAAACAAAGCAUUGUGAUGGUCAUGAAAAGAUUUUAACACAAUGUGAUUUCUGCCCAGUGCUCUGAAUGUCAAAGUGAAGAAAUUCAAACAAGCGCGGGUAAACGGCGGGAGUAACUAUGACUCUCUUAAGGUAGCCAAAUGCCUCGUCAUCUAAUUAGUGACGCGCAUGAAUGGAUCAACGAGAUUCCCACUGUCCCUACUUACUAUCUGGUGAAACCGCAGCCAAGGGAACGGACUUGGCAAAAUCAGCGGGGAAAGAAGACCCUGUUGAGCUUGACUCUAGUCCGACUUUGUGAAACAUCUUUAGAGGUGUAGAAUAAGUGGGAGAAGCAAUUCGAUCUUGAAAUACCACUACUUUAAAUGAUGUUUUACUUAUUUGAUUACAAGAUAGAUUUAUAUUCUAGCAAUAAGAUCGCUCUUCGGAGUGGUUGAAUCUUUUCAAAGACAUUGUCAGAUGGGGAGUUUGGCUGGGGCGGCACAUCUGCUAAAAGAUAACGCAGGUGUCCAAAGAUGAACUCAAUGAGAACAGAAAUCUCAUGUAGAACAAAAGGGUAAAAGUUCAUUUGAUUUUAAUUUUCAGUGUGAAUUUAAACUGUGAAAGCAUGGCCUAUCGAUCCUUUAAAUUUAUUUCGAGAUAUGAAGUUAGAGGUGUCAGAAAAGUUACCACAGGGAUAACUGGCUUGUGGCAGCCAAGCGUUCAUAGCGACGUUGCUUUUUGA
This 1978-nucleotide ribosomal RNA is filed under the name Thalassiosira rotula. RNAcentral describes it as "eukaryotic LSU rRNA". It matches the Rfam family "Eukaryotic large subunit ribosomal RNA", at positions 924 to 2873 of the family's 3401-position model. Lineage: Eukaryota; Bacillariophyta; Thalassiosirophyceae; Thalassiosirales; Thalassiosiraceae. The record is from RNAcentral.